Molecule: ribosomal RNA, 253 nt
Filed under: uncultured bacterium
Lineage: Bacteria
Description: partial 16S ribosomal RNA
Rfam family: Bacterial small subunit ribosomal RNA
Source: RNAcentral
UACGGGAGAGGCAAGCGUUGUUCGGAAUCACUAGGCUUAAAGCGCGUGUAGGCGGCCUCGUAAGUACCUUGUGAAAGCCCUCGUCUCAACCGAGGAACUGCUUGGUAUACUGCGGGGCUUGAGGCAGGUAGGGGUGCUUGGAGCUCUAGGUGGAGCGGUGAAAUGCGUAGAGAUCUAGGGGAACGCCGGCGGCGAAAGCGGAGCACUGGGCCUGACCUGACGCUGAGACGCGAAAGCGUGGGUAGCAAACGGG